CCAAAGAGCCAAGACAAGCAAACCAGUGAUGGGGUUUCAAUACCGAAUGAAGAGGUAACGUGCGUCAAACGUCACCAGUCACGUGACCAAGCCAUGCCUCGGCACAGUGAUUUGAUGCUGCCUCAGGUGUCAGAGGCCCAUCACUGCUGACAGGGCGGACCAGCCCAAGAAGAUAAAUGUAUCGUGAAAACCUAACUCCUGGUUCAGAGAACGGAUUUCCUGCAGGAUCUGUCGCUCUGAUCCCAGCGCUGCGGCAGUGGCCAGAGGAUCCUGUUGGCUACACAAGAUGCCCACACGCAUGCUUUGUUUUCCCUUCCCUCCCUUACAAAUUGACAUUUACCCCUUUAAGCUGUGGAGGGGUAAGUUCACCAGAACAAGAACAGUGGUUAACUUCAUACAUGGAUGCUCUAGGCAGGCAUUUUUAGGAUGCAGUGUAUGGGGUGGUGGUUUAUUGUAUGAAGGAUGUCUUUGUUCUUCAUGCAUGAAGGUAGGUGACGCUGAUCUCACUUGAGGUGGAUUCACCAAGUUUUGUAGAGCUUUUAAUUGCAUUACAGGCUUUCUCAUCCAUGUACUAGUACUUUUACUCAUGUUCCCUUGCUUACUCUGGCAACAUGCACAACAGUAGGACUAACCAUCCUUUGAAUAGGUGUGUACACUAUUUAUUACAAACCUCCAGAUGGUAACUGUUCAGACCAUUGUGACGUGUUGCAUCAUUCUUAUUGCUGGGGAUAGCUUCUCAAAGUGAAAUUGGAGCAUAUCAUGCUUAAAACUCAAGCUUUUUCCAUUUCUCCCUUAAGCAAUCCUGAACCAGAUGUCAUUCUGUGGAC
This is a long non-coding RNA of Monopterus albus (swamp eel), 827 nucleotides long. RefSeq lists it as uncharacterized. The transcript has 3 exons. Lineage: Eukaryota; Metazoa; Chordata; Actinopteri; Synbranchiformes; Synbranchidae. The record is from RefSeq and is a predicted model, not a curated record.